This 482-nucleotide ribosomal RNA is filed under the name uncultured bacterium. RNAcentral describes it as "partial 16S ribosomal RNA". It matches the Rfam family "Bacterial small subunit ribosomal RNA", at positions 30 to 507 of the family's 1533-position model. The record is from RNAcentral.
AUUGAACGCUGGCGGCAUGCCUUACACAUGCAAGUCGAACGGUAACGGGCCUUCGGGUGCCGACGAGUGGCGCACGGGUGAGUAAUACAUCGGAACGUUCCCGAUCGUGGGGGAUAACGAGGCGAAAGCUUUGCUAAUACCGCAUACGAUCUACGUAUGAAAGCAGGGGACCGCAAGGCCUUGCGCGGACGGAGCGGCCGAUGGCAGAUUAGGUAGUUGGUGGGAUAAAAGCUUACCAAGCCGACGAUCUGUAGCUGGUCUGAGAGGAUGAUCAGCCACACUGGGACUGAGACACGGCCCAGACUCCUACGGGAGGCAGCAGUGGGGAAUUUUGGACAAUGGGCGCAAGCCUGAUCCAGCCAUGCCGCGUGCAGGAUGAAGGCCUUCGGGUUGUAAACUGCUUUUGUACGGAACGAAAAGCCUUCUUUUAAUACAGGAGGGUCAUGACGGUACCGUAAGAAUAAGCACCGGCUAACUACGUG